Molecule: ribosomal RNA, 237 nt
Filed under: uncultured soil bacterium
Lineage: Bacteria
Description: partial 16S ribosomal RNA
Rfam family: Bacterial small subunit ribosomal RNA
Source: RNAcentral
AGAACGAACGCUGGCGGCAGGCUUAACACAUGCAAGUCGAACGGGUGUAGCAAUACAUCAGUGGCAGACGGGUGAGUAACACGUGGGAACCUUCCUAGGGGUACGGAACAACUCAGGGAAACUUGAGCUAAUACCGUAUACGUCCGUAAGGAGAAAGAUUCAUCGCCCCUAGACGGGCCCGCGUCGGAUUAGGUAGUUGGUGGGGUAACGCCUACCAAGCCUACGAUCCGUAGCUGA